RNAcentral lists this ribosomal RNA (393 nucleotides) under uncultured bacterium. RNAcentral's name for it is "partial 16S ribosomal RNA". It matches the Rfam family "Bacterial small subunit ribosomal RNA", at positions 523 to 918 of the family's 1533-position model. The record is from RNAcentral.
AUACGGAGGAUCCGAGCGUUAUCCGGAUUUAUUGGGUUUAAAGGGAGCGUAGGUGGGAUAUUAAGUCAGCUGUGAAAGUUUGGGGCUCAACCUUAACAUUGCAGUUGAUACUGGUUUCCUUGAGUACGGUACAGGUGGGCGGAAUUCGUGGUGUAGCGGUGAAAUGCUUAGAUAUCACGAAGAACUCCGAUCGCGAAGGCAGCUCACCGGGCCGGAACUGACACUGAUGCUCGAAAGUGCGGGUAUCAAACAGGAUUAGAUACCCUGGUAGUCCGCACAGUAAACGAUGAAUACUCGCUGUUUGCGAUACACUGUAAGCGGCCAAGCGAAAGCGUUAAGUAUUCCACCUGGGGAGUACGCCGGCAACGGUGAAACUUAAAGGAAUUGACGGGG